Molecule: ribosomal RNA, 566 nt
Filed under: Odontotermes feae
Lineage: Eukaryota; Metazoa; Arthropoda; Insecta; Blattodea; Termitidae
Description: partial large subunit ribosomal RNA
Rfam family: Bacterial large subunit ribosomal RNA
Source: RNAcentral
CCUCGCCUGUUUUUAUCAAAAACAUCUUUUCUUGUUAGUUUCUGAAGUAUGGCCUGCCCGCUGACGUAUUUUGAGUUGAAGGGCCGCGGUAUUUUGACCGUGCAAAGGUAGCAUAGUCAUUAGUUCUUUAAUUGUGAUCUGGUAUGAAUGGCUUGACGAGACAUGGGCUGUCUUGGGUGUGAAUUUGUUGUUGAAUUUGGAGUUUAAGUUAAAAUUCUUAGAUGUUUUUAUGGGACGAGAAGACCCUAUAGAGUUUGACAUUUGAUUGCGUAUUUCUUGUUGUUUGUUUUGAAUUUUUGUGCAUCUCUUGUUUUGUUGGGGUGAUGGGAGGAAUUUAUUUAACUCCUCUUUUAUGUGGUAUAUUGAUUUGUAAUUGUUUUGAUCCAUUUAUUUUGAUUGUAAGAUUAAAUUACCUUAGGGAUAACAGCGUUAUCUUCCCUGAGAGUUCUUAUUGGCGGGGGGGUUUGCGACCUCGAUGUUGGAUUAAGGUUAAUUUUUGGUGUAGGAGCUGAAUUGAUUGGGUCUGUUCGACCUUUAAAAUCUUACGUGAUCUGAGUUCAGACCGG